UGGGUGAUGAUGACUCAGGAGAGGAGCAGGACACUUUUAUUUCAUACAAGGAAAUACAUUUAUUGUUUUGUCUUCAGAAAUGACCAUUUGUACCAAUCAGAAGCAAGCUGACAAGAUGGGAAAGAAACUUCUAUGCACAGAUAAUUCUUGGACUUCCUGGAAGGACUGUGGCCAGGCUUCCCGAUCAGAGCACCUCAGGCACACCCCCAGGAUUAAUAGACACAAGAGUUAACUGAUUUAAGUGCCCCUCCCCCUUAACUUUACAUUUACAUUCCCCCUUGAAUUCUGGGAAAAUCUGUGCUUGCUGCAGCUGGUCCUGUCUUCAGCAUCACGUGUGUCUCUCAGGGGAGGAUUUCUAGUGGGUGGGAUUUUCACCAUCACACCUGGCUCCACGCUCAUGGCAUCAGAACUGCUGUGACAGAACAAGCUGUCACCCUGAUGAAGACCAUUUCAGAUGCUGGUCUUGGACUGAAAUGGCAUUGAGGCUGGCAGUGUGACUCAGUGGGAAGACCCUGGGUUUGACGUUCUGCACCUAAACAAAUAAACAACAGAUCUAGGCAAGUCUACUUCUGUUGUUGUUCUGGGGACCAAACCCAGGGUUUUGGGCUUGUUAGGUAGGAAAUCCCCAACCCUACCCUGUGUCUACAGGAAAUAAUACAUACACCUCUUGGUGGAGCUAUCUAGUGCUAAACACAAGAGAAAAUUUUCUUUGGUGUCUUUAGGUACUGGUUUGGUAUCUAAAGAGUACCAAACCAGUACCACAGUACCAGGCUAGUUUGGUACUCUUUGGGUACAUAACCCAGGCUGGCCUCCAACUCAAAAUUAUCCUGUCUCAGCAUCCUGAGUCCACUAUCAUGCCUAGUGAAGGGCUUUCUAACUCUACACAUUCUCAGCCUGACUCAGAAGGGACAUCUAAAUAACAGAAUGGAAUAGUAGUUACAUUCUCCAUUAUACCCCUAAAACUAUGCUUCUCUAAGUUUCUAAGACCAAAACAAAACAAACAAAGAAAUAAAACAGUGACAAAGAGAGCAGAAGCAACAUUAGAAACAGAGAAAAAGGAGAUUUUAAAAAAAAUGAAAUAUAAGAGAUACAUAAAAAUGCCACAAUAAAAACUCAUUGCUUUGUAACAUUAAUCCAAAAAAUAAUUUAAGAAAAAAAUCCAUCAUGAUUCCUCAUAAUAUUGAAAUAAAGUUGAUGACCAAAUAAAGUACAUCAGGGCUGAAUUCAGAAGCUGGAUAGGGCAUGUCAACCUAUCCCAGUACUGGGGUCAUGAUAUUUUUCACAUCCCUCAUAGUAGAAGGGUAUCCAGGAACGUGUCAACUUCAACUGCUUCAGUUCUUUGUCCCAGCCUUGAGACAAACCUACAGCGUCUGUUUUGAAUAUGCAUAUCUGGCUCCUCAGCUUGCCUAGAAAGUGCCAUUCAUUUAUUGACACCAGUAACUAUUUUGAAAAAUUGACCGUGACCUUCCAACUGUGUCUAACACAUCAAAGUUAAACAGCUUAACAUCAAAACCAGUCUGGUUCUCUUAAAUCUGCAUUGUAAACACUGACAGGGACAGACUGCCAAAUGAGAAAAAGUUUCUUAACUCCUUGUGGAGCAAAAACGAAAAACUAAAACCAAAACCAAAACAGUGCUUCAGGAACACACAGCAUUAAAAUUAACACCCUAAUUAAUCCAAAGCGAGGAUGUUUAUUCCAAAAGAUGUCUUCCUCCAACUUCUUGGGAUGGGGUCAAAUGCAAGCCCCUCUAGUUUUCCCCCAGAUUUGUCAUCAAUGAAUGAAUCCCCCAGCUGGAACUUCAUAGUAAAGAGAUGCGAAGUCAGCCUGCUGUUUACAAGAGGUGAGGCGCUAAUCUAAGCUCCACAAGGCCCUUGGCCAGCCCUUGAGAUCCAUGUCUUUUACUCCCGGGCCCAUCACAUGAUCCCCCUUCCAGCGUCCGGGAACUCAACCCUCAGGAAGACCUCGGGUUCAUAGAAGUGGAACAUCGGUGUCCAGGUGUCAGCAUUGCUGCUGUCCCCACCCAAUGCCACUGGGACCCAGGCUGCUGGUGUUUUUCCCCAGGCGCCUGCCUGGCUUGCCAGGUCAGAAAGCUACACUCACGCUCUACACGCUCUCGUGGUACCCCGCUCUUCGGUGCUGGCCCUGUGCUCUGGGUCCCUCAGCCCACACCCGUUUGUCUUGUCAUUUCGUGAGGACCCCUCCUGCCCCCAGCUGUCCUAAACUUUCUUGAGGUCCUCUUCACAUCCAUUGAGAGGGCACCGUUUUCAGAACCACUGCCCUGGCCUCCCUUGAGGUUCUUUGCUUAUUCUCUUGUAAGUCUCUCUUGGGUCCCCCUCCUUCAUUCCGCUGCCUGGGUUCUCUCAAGUUCAUUUGCUCAAUCUGCAGUCUCGGUCCCUCUUAGUGUCUCCUCCGCUCAUCCCACGGUUCCGGUCCCUCUCUGGGUCCGGUCCGUUCUUCUCACUGGACCAUCUGGGGCUGAUCUCCUCGUUCAUCCCGCCGUCGCAGUCUCUCCGGGGUCCUCUCGCUCAUCCCACUGGCCCGGGUCCCUCUCCAAGUCUCCUCUUUGAUCCCACUGCCCACUCCCGUCUUGGGGUCCCCUUGCUCACCUGCGGUAUUUCUCGGUGCCCUCUCAUCUUGCUUUCCCCAUUCCUCUCGGAGUCCCCUCUCACCCACGGUCCCACUCGGAGUCCCCUCCUCACUCCCCGUCCCGGUCCUUCCCGGUCCCCCGAAGCACUGGCAGAUCCGCUAGCUAGCAACUCCUCUCCCGGGAUGCUCGUGACCGCUGCGCCGGGUCCCCGCGCCGGGACUCCGGCUGUCACUCUGGCGCCCGCGCUCUCACCUCAGCGUUGUCACCCGUGGCCCGGACGCCGCGCGCCUCCUCUCCCUCGUGCCCCGAGUCGCUCUCGUGUUGGCUCCUCACGUGCUGGGUCCCCACGUGCAGCCUCCGCUCGAGAGCCCGCGUCGCGCCCCACUCUCCACGCAGGACCCUGGCUGCCGCCGCUGCUGCUGUCCGAGGUGCGGCUCCGCCAGGGGUGGCCAAUCGCACCCGACUGCGCGGAG
Molecule: long non-coding RNA, 3060 nt
Filed under: Cricetulus griseus (Chinese hamster)
Lineage: Eukaryota; Metazoa; Chordata; Mammalia; Rodentia; Cricetidae
Description: lncRNA (ENSCGRG00015033673.1)
Source: RNAcentral